GGGCAGCCUCAGCGUCAUUUUGGAAUUGCAAAAGGAGAGACGUGGCCGCCGAUGCUCUCCAGCUGCAAAGGCACCGUACCCAAAAACCUUUCCCCUAGAAGACAAACACCUUUGAGACCACGCACCCUCUGCGCGAGGCUCUGGGGAGACGGGGAGGCUUGGGUGCAGGAUCGUGUAGCAUGCUGGUGUUAAGUUCAUUCUUGCUGCAAGAGAAGGCCAUUCUACUUCCUGACCCCCAAAGCAAGAUCUCAACAGUAUGUACCCAACUGAAGCAAGUGCUUAUGUCCACAAGACCUGUACAAGGAUAUCCACCAUAUCUUUAUUCAUUACAGCCCAAUCAUGGAGACAACCCAAAGUCC
Long non-coding RNA from Fukomys damarensis (Damara mole-rat), 359 nucleotides. RefSeq lists it as uncharacterized. NCBI's taxonomy places the organism in Eukaryota, Metazoa, Chordata, Mammalia, Rodentia, Bathyergidae. The record is from RefSeq and is a predicted model, not a curated record. The transcript is spliced from 3 exons.